AUCCCUCUGACGAGUCUGAAAUAGGACGAAACGCGCGUCUUGAAU
This is a non-coding RNA of Schistosoma curassoni, 45 nucleotides long. NCBI's taxonomy places the organism in Eukaryota, Metazoa, Platyhelminthes, Trematoda, Strigeidida, Schistosomatidae. The record is from Rfam.